UUUAAGGAAAGUCAGGGUGUUUAAAUUAGUUACAAUUAACCCGGUUACAAAAUGGCAUAACAUUCACACUCUGCUACUAAAGUCAAUUCUGUUGUAGUUCUUCUUUGACAAUAUUCUACAUCCACAACUUUCUAUAAUAUAUCGGGUGAAAGAAAGAUUUUAAAAUUUCCCUUUCUUUGUAGAUAUGAUACAAAGUUGUCUGAAGCCUGUAAAAUACAACUGAUUAAGCAGGGGCUUGCAAACAAUGAUGAAUGUGCAACUUCAGGAGGUAUUGGCUCAAGCUCAUAUUCGUGUAUCACUAGUAAAUUUGGUGGUACACAAGCUCAUCAAAAAUGGAUGCAAAAUUUUGAAAGAAGACCUGAACUCCCAGCUAAUGGUGUCUUAUCUUUUAACAACUAUAUAGAGAGCUAUAAUAAACAGAUGAGACAGAGAAUGAAACGACUUUCAAAGGAGCUCAGUCAUGCAUUUACAAAACUUGAUUAUUUUCCCUGAUUGAAUCCUGUAUCAGUGCUUCCAUGUGGACCAAAGCUAAAAAAAGGGAACAAUCCUUCAACAAAACAAGGUAUCAGAUAUAAGAAAAAUUAACAGCAUAGAAUUAUUGAAGUCCUUCCUAUUUUCUAUUUGUUGGAAUUUACAUAAUGUAAGGACAGCUUAACAUUCUCAAACCCACUUAUUCCAAUUAAUUGCCAAGGGAGGCUAGAACCUACCUGUACAGCAACAGCCCAGGACAAUAAACAGUUCUGGCCAGGGAGUCAGUC
Molecule: long non-coding RNA, 758 nt
Organism: Erpetoichthys calabaricus (reedfish)
Lineage: Eukaryota; Metazoa; Chordata; Cladistia; Polypteriformes; Polypteridae
Exons: 3
Source: RefSeq, a predicted model, not a curated record